GGGGUUUAUGGACUUCAAGAAGGAAUAUGUUAUAUGUCCCAGGAGGGUUUUUACCCACCCAGCAACACCAGGAAUUCUCGUUUUUCAAAUCCUCAAUUGAACAAUUUUGUGUCUAAUUACUUCAUUAAAAUUUCAGAAACCACUUAGCCAAGCUGGGAAAAAAUGGUGGCGAAACAGAGUGGCAGAAACCGAGGAGGCGGUGGCGGAGGAACCGCCGCUGCAACGGAAGUUUCUGUCGAGGAAUUAGCACGUGUUCCCUUGCAAGCCAUCCUCUUAGCUGAUAGCUUCGCCACUAAGUUCCGCCCGAUAACCCUUGAGCGCCCGAAGGUUUUGCUGCCGCUAGUGAAUGUUCCGAUGAUUGAUUAUACUUUAGCGUGGCUAGAAUCAGCUGGAGUUGAAGAGGUUUUUGUGUUUUGUUGUGCUCAUGCGAAACAAGUGGCUGAGCAUUUGGAAAAUUCGCAGUGGUUUGCACAACCGAACUUUUCUGUGACGGCUAUCGAAUCGAACAAUGCGGUUGGUGCUGGUGAUGCUUUGCGUUUGAUAUAUGAGCAAAAUGUGAUACGUGGAGAUUUUGUCCUUGUUAGUGGAGAUACAGUGAGUAAUAUGUCUCUUGCAGAGGCACUUGGAGAACAUAAGGAGAGGAGGAGAAAGGAUAGCAAUGCCAUAAUGACCAUGGUCAUAACACAGUCAAAAACAUCUCCAACAACUCGUCAAUCUCGUCUUGGAACUGAUGAGUUGUUUAUGGCAAUUGAUCCUGAUACAAAGCAACUCCUCUAUUACGAGGAUAAGUCUGAUAAAGGAACAGUGUCACUUGAUAAGACAUUGCUUUCUGAUCAUCCAUCUAUUUAUCUGCAUAAUGACAAGCAGGAUUGCUACAUUGACAUUUGCUCUCCGGAAGUCCUGAGCACAUUCGCUGACAAUUUUGACUAUCAACAUCUACGGCGUCAUUUUUUGAAGGGUUUGCUUGAUGAUGAUAUAAUGGGUUACAAGAUUUUCACUCAUGAAAUUCAAUCAAAUUAUGCGGCUAGAAUUGAUAAUUUCCGAAGCUAUGAUACUGUCAGCAAGGACAUUAUUCAAAGAUGGACAUAUCCAUUGGUGCCUGAUGUACAAUUUUUUGGAAAUUCUUCUACUAAACUUGACAGACAAGGAAUGUACCGAGCAUCAGUGGUGGGGCAGUCACGUUCUGCGCAAGUUGGGCCAUUUACCGUUAUAGGAAGUGGCACUACCAUUGGAAGCCAGUCUCAAAUUUCAAAUUCAGUAGUUGGUGAAGGUUGUAAAAUUGGUGCAAAUGUUUCAAUAGAGGGUUGCUACAUAUGGCACAAUGUUACGAUUGAAGAUGGUUGUCAACUAAAGCAUGCAAUAGUGUGUGAUGGGGUGGUAAUAAAGUCAGGAGUGAUUCUGGAACCUGGUGUAGUCUUGUCAUACAAGGUUGUGGUAGGACAACAGUUUAUUGUUCCUGCAUACUCAAAGGUAUCCUUGUAUCAGCAGCCCAUCAAACAAGAUAGUGAUGAGGAACUGGAAUAUGCUGACAGCAGCACUGGAUUCAUGGAUGCUUCAUCACUGUCUGGUUUGCCAGAUAAGUUGAAGGAAGAGUCAACUAUACAAUUAUCUGAGUCGCAGCUGCAGGCUGCAUCUGAGGUUGGUAGUGGUGGGGUUGGUUUCAUUUGGUCCACAAGUGAGGGCAGUCAUGAAGAGGAAUGGAGGCAUUCAGUUGCACCUAUUCCUCCAGCCAAGCUUCUUGAAAUUAUGCACACCUCAAACAAUGAACUUGAGGUGGUGCAACAAGAUGGCAAUCUUCCUCCUUCAGGGGAGCUGGAACGUGAUUCUGUUACUGCUAAUUCGAAUGAUUAUGAUGAUGAUGAUGUUGAUGUCAAAGAUGACUAUGAGUUUUUUGAGAACGAGGUUGAAGCUACUUUUAAACGGGCUCUAGAGGAGAAUAUUAAGGAAGACGAUGUAAUAUUGGAGGUCAAUUCAUUGCGGUUGUCGUACAAUUUGGCAACUGCAGAUUGUUCUGGUGCAUUAUUCUAUUCAAUGAUGAAGUCAGCACUCAGUGCACCACAUCCAUCACCUAGUGAUUUGGUGAAAAAUGCUGCAACUGUCAUUACAAAAUGGAAAAAACUUUUGAAGUAUUACCUGCCAAGUAUAGAUGAAGAGGUUGGUCUAUUGAUCUCUUCAUCUGAUCCUGAUGAGAUCGAAGUGAUACUGAAAUUUGAAGAAAUGUGCUUGGAAUCUGCAAAGGAGUAUUCAACAGUGUUUGUACAGAAACAGGUUUUACCCAAAUUCCAGAUGAUCCAUACAAAAUCCGUAAAUGCUGAGCGAUUGGAGGUGCCACAUUCUGCAUCUUCUUUAUGACAAAGAUAUCAUACAAGAGGAAGCAAUACUCAACUGGGCAUCUGAGAAGGAAGGUGCUGAUGAGACUGAUAAGCUAUUUGUCAAGCAGGCAGAAAAAUUCAUCCAGUGGUUGAACGAAGCAUCUGAAGAAGAGGAUUGAUAAAAUGUUUAAAUCAGGUCACCGAUUUUCAAGAUCUGUCUCUUCGAGUAUCAUCAUCAAGUGCUUGAGAUCAUCAACCCCUUUUCCUCGUGCCUUGAUUGCUUGGAGGCUGUGUAUAUGUUCUAGAACUUCAUGGAGGUCUUAUAACCUGUCUGCCGGUCGUGCACGAUCUGACUUCUGGCAACUGCUUCCAUCUGCAAUUUUAACAUUCUGUCUGUGGUCAGACAAAUUGCUCACGAGCAAUUUCCCAUUUUUUGUCCAUGAACUGAAGGAUUAUGGAGCGAGUAUGAACUUUGAAGGAUUAUGCUGAAUGGAAGUGUAAAUUUUGGGUUUUGCAUUGUAGUAAAGAAUAUAAAACUAACAAUGUAAAUUCAUUGAUGAAAGGCAGUUCAUUGCUAAUAAUUUGUUUUGUUGUCUGUUGUUAAGUGAUUGGGGAAUUUGUACCCCUUCAUCCCUUUUGAACAAUUAUGCAGUGAAUUUAGUUCA
This is a non-coding RNA of Coffea arabica (coffee), 2977 nucleotides long. The record is from RefSeq and is a predicted model, not a curated record. Lineage: Eukaryota; Viridiplantae; Streptophyta; Magnoliopsida; Gentianales; Rubiaceae.